AUUGAACGCUGGCGGCAGGCUUAACACAUGCAAGUCGAGCGGGGUGAUGGUGCUUGCACUAUCACUUAGCGGCGGACGGGUGAGUAAUGCUUAGGAAUCUGCCUAUUAGUGGGGGACAACAUCUCGAAAGGGAUGCUAAUACCGCAUACGUCCUACGGGAGAAAGCAGGGGAUCACUUGUGACCUUGCGCUAAUAGAUGAGCCUAAGUCGGAUUAGCUAGUUGGUGGGGUAAAGGCCUACCAAGGCGACGAUCUGUAGCGGGUCUGAGAGGAUGGACCGCCACACUGGGACUGAGACACGGCCCAGACUCCUACGGGAGGCAGCAGUGGGGAAUAUUGGACAAUGGGGGGAACCCUGAUCCAGCCAUGCCGCGUGUGUGAAGAAGGCCUUAUGGUUGUAAAGCACUUUAAGCGAGGAGGAGGCUCUUUUGGUUAAUACCCAAGAUGAGUGGACGUUACUCGCAGAAUAAGCACCGGCUAACUCUGUGCCAGCAGCCGCCGUAA
This 503-nucleotide ribosomal RNA is filed under the name uncultured bacterium. Its description in RNAcentral is "partial 16S ribosomal RNA". It matches the Rfam family "Bacterial small subunit ribosomal RNA", at positions 30 to 523 of the family's 1533-position model. The record is from RNAcentral.